CCUACGGGCGGCAGCAGUGGGGAAUCUUCCGCAAUGGACGAAAGUCUGACGGAGCAACGCCGCGUGAGUGAAGAAGGCCUUCGGGUUGUAAAACUCUGUCUUCAGGGAAGAAAAAAAUGACGGUACCUGAGGAGGAAGCCACGGCUAACUACGUGCCAGCAGCCGCGGUAAUACGUAGGUGGCAAGCGUUGUCCGGAAUCAUUGGGCGUAAAGGGCGCGUAGGCGGUUAUUUAAGUCAGUUGUGAAAACUCUGGGCUCAACCCGGAGAUUGCAGUUGAUACUGGGUAACUUGAGUGCAGGAGAGGAUAGUGGAAUUCCUAGUGUAGCGGUGAGAUGCGUAGAUAUUAGGAGGACGACCAGUGGCGAAGGCGGCUGUCUGGACUGUCACUGACGCUGAGGCGCGAAAGCGUGGGGAGCAAACAGGAUUAGCUACCCCGGUAGUC
Molecule: ribosomal RNA, 443 nt
Filed under: Serratia sp. HRI
Lineage: Bacteria; Pseudomonadati; Pseudomonadota; Gammaproteobacteria; Enterobacterales; Yersiniaceae
Description: bacterial SSU rRNA
Rfam family: Bacterial small subunit ribosomal RNA
Source: RNAcentral